Molecule: ribosomal RNA, 593 nt
Filed under: Eumonhystera environmental sample
Lineage: Eukaryota; Metazoa; Nematoda; Chromadorea; Monhysterida; Monhysteridae
Description: SSU rRNA
Rfam family: Eukaryotic small subunit ribosomal RNA
Source: RNAcentral
UCAUAACCGUAAACGAUUCAAACUGGGCGCCCGUCGGUGUUUUUAUUGACCCGACGGGAACCCUCCCGGAAACGAAAGUGUUCGUGUUCCGGGGGAAAUAUGUCUGCAAAGAGGAAACUUAAAGGAAUUGACGGAAGGGCACCACCAGGGGUGGAGCCUGCGGCUUAAUUUGACUCAACACGGGGAAACUCACCCGGCCCGGACACCGUAAGGAUUGACAGAUUGAGAGCUCUUUCUUGAUUCGGUGGGUGGUGGUGCAUGGCCGUUCUUAGUUGGUGGAGUGAUUUGUCUGGUUUAUUCCGAUAACGAACGAGACUCUGGCCUGCUAACUAGUGUUCAGAUCUUCACGUCUGCUUCGCUUCUUAGAGGGACAGGCGGCUUCCAGCCGCAUGAAAAAGAGCAAUAACAGGUCUGUGAUGCCCUUAGAUGUCCGGGGCUGCACGCGCGCUACACUGAAAGAAUCAGCGUGUACGUUACCUGGCUCGAAAGAGUCGGGUAAUCCGGUGAAAAUCUUUCGUGAUUGGGAUCGGGACUUGCAAUUAUUUCCCUUGAACGAGGAAUCCCUAGUAAGUGCGGGUCAUCAGCUCGCGCUG